UACGUAGGUGACCAGCGUUGUCCGGAUUUACUGGGCGUAAAGAGCGCGCAGGCGGUCGUUCAAGUCGAGUGUGAAAGCCCCCGGCUCAACUGGGGAGGGUCACUCGAUACUGAUCGACUUGAAGGCAGGAGAGGGAAGCGGAAUUCCGGGUGUAGCGGUGAAAUGCGUAGAUAUCCGGAGGAACACCGGUGGCGAAGGCGGCUUCCUGGACCGACACUGACGCUGAGGCGCGAAAGCUAGGGGAGCAAACGGG
Molecule: ribosomal RNA, 253 nt
Filed under: uncultured bacterium
Lineage: Bacteria
Description: partial 16S ribosomal RNA
Rfam family: Bacterial small subunit ribosomal RNA
Source: RNAcentral